Molecule: ribosomal RNA, 275 nt
Filed under: uncultured bacterium
Lineage: Bacteria
Description: partial 16S ribosomal RNA
Rfam family: Bacterial small subunit ribosomal RNA
Source: RNAcentral
GAUGAACGCUAGCGGCAGGCUUAAUACAUGCAAGUCGUGGGGCAGCAGGGGUAGCAAUACCCGCUGGCGACCGGCAAAUGGGUGCGGAACACGUACGCAACCUUCCUUUAACUGGAGAAUAGCCCCUCGAAAGAGGGAUUAAUACUCCGUAACAUGUACAUGUGGCAUCACAAGUACAUUAUAGCUCCGGACGGUUAAAGAUGGGCGUGCGCCUGAUUAGAUAGNGGCGGGUAACGCCCACAAGUCUGCGAUCAGUAACUGGUGUGAGAGCACGA